AGGAUUAUAGUUUAAAAACAUUUGAUUUGCAUUCAAAAAUUAUUGAAUUAAUUUCAAUUUAUCUUA
RNAcentral lists this transfer RNA (66 nucleotides) under Biston mediolata. RNAcentral's name for it is "tRNA-Ala". It matches the Rfam family "tRNA". From Rfam's summary of the family: Transfer RNA (tRNA) molecules are approximately 80 nucleotides in length. Their secondary structure includes four short double-helical elements and three loops (D, anti-codon, and T loops). Lineage: Eukaryota; Metazoa; Arthropoda; Insecta; Lepidoptera; Geometridae. The record is from RNAcentral.